GUGACCAUGAUGUAACAGCAGCAUCCGGCCCUGUGACGGCCGUUGUGCGGGUGCGAAUCCCGUUGGUCACCCCA
RNAcentral lists this transfer RNA (74 nucleotides) under Verrucomicrobiota bacterium. RNAcentral describes it as "Verrucomicrobia bacterium (activated sludge metagenome) tRNA-His". It matches the Rfam family "tRNA". Rfam says of the family: Transfer RNA (tRNA) molecules are approximately 80 nucleotides in length. Lineage: Bacteria; Pseudomonadati; Verrucomicrobiota. The record is from RNAcentral.